UUGUUGCUGUAUUCUCAUUGGUUGGUUGGUUUCUAGUUGUGUUCUAGCUGUCUUCUGUUUCCAUUUUCUUCUCAGGUAAGAGGGCAAGUUUUUAAGCCAACAGACACCAAUGAGAGUUGUUUUGAUCAUUUUUAGGCUUGUGAUAGGGGCCAAGUUGAGUUGAGUGCCCCGUCCUGCACAGUUAGGUGAGAGUUUUCAUCAGUUUCAAUGUUUCCACACAUACCAGGAUCUUUUAAUCCAAAAUUAGCUACUCAUCAGAAGGUGAUGGAACAAUAAUGGGAAACCCACACUGGGAUGAAUCAGAAGACAAUUCAGAGAAGGAAAAGAUUAGUGAGGACCAGUCAAUUUCUAGCAAAAUCACAUAAUUUUUUAACACCAUAGUAAAACAGCUCUUAUUUGUAUUUGUUUCUCACUAUUUUCAGAUGCAACAGGUCUCUGUAGGCCCAGAUACAGCACAAAUUUUCACAAGUCAUUCAGAAAAAAACGUGGUUCACACAAUCGGUAUGGUCAGAUCACAUCAGGUAAAUAUUGUACACAGUACUGAAUACUGAAAUGUUGUCAUCUGUAGCCAAUAAUUAUUUUCUCAAAAUAAAGGACCCACAAAGUGCUGUGCCAAGUGGGGCUGUCAGACAAGAAAAGGAUGAAAUAUAUAUAAUGAGAGAGACAAAACUGGACAAGAGACCCUCAGAAGAAAAGACAGAAUAUGAAGAAGGACAAGUAAAAGAAAAAGUAGACAAGGGAUCCUUGGAGAAGAGAAAGAGUGAAGGUGAUGAAGGACAAACGAGAGAAGCAAAGAUACAGGAGGAGCCUUUGGAGAAGAUGAGCAGUGAAGAAGAGCCCUCAAUAAUAAAAAAAAACAUGCAACAAGAUUAUUUAUAUGUCUUAGAACAGAUUGUAAGUGGUUAGGUUCCUCAGGGAAAGCAAAUUUGAUUUGUUUGAUUUUAGGUCGGUCACCAUCAAAAUGUCACUCAACAGCUGUUUUCUUGUAGAUCAGCAAGAUAAUUCGGACACAGAUGGUGAUGUUUGUGUGAAAAGCAGAAGUGUAGCAGAAUUUGAACUUGCUGACACACUGGUAAGUACAGACACUGUAUGGGGCAGAGCAAUAUUACUGGCUAGACAUGAAUAUCUCCCUGCUCUUUACCACUGUGCAUUUUGUAUGAGUGAAAUGCAGUGCCAAAUAUACAGUUUGCAGUUGGACUAUGCUAUAACUUUCUUUGUUUUUCUUCUUUUACUUGUGUUGAAAACAACGUCUACAGGGAACCAAAUGAAUCAGUUGCUAACAAAUAUGAAAAAGAAAAGGACUGAUUGGUGGUCAGAAUACCCUCACCUAGGUAGUGAUUUUAAAAGAUUUGGCUGGACAGAGUAAAAAUCAGCAUGUGUGAAUACUUAAAAGCAAAUCACGUGCAACAUCUACAGAUAAGAUGAAUGAAUGACUGAUUACUCAUCGUUAACCAACCAGCAUUCCGGGCCACCUUAUAAAGGGACGAGGCGCCCGUCCUGGUCCCCCUCUUGCUCGUUGGUCUCGAGUCCGCCCCUUCUGGGUUACCUCGCUCCCGUCUCCGGUUCCCCUGGCAGCUGAUCGGGCUGCGGCUUUGUGCCGGUGUAGUGCCUGGCAGGCUGCGCUCUCUGCCAUCUGUUUGGGGUGCCUCGCUGCUGCCACCGCUGCUCCAGACUGAGCUGAGCGCCUGUUAAAGAGAGGAACUUCUGCUUUACUCUGGCGUUUUUUUUGUUGUUGGUUUGCCUCGCCGCUCCUCCAACCCACUUGCCUGGCCGCCGCCUUGAGUGCCGUUGGCCGUGGACCGACUGUUGCCGACCGCGGCGCCUGAUGGCUCUGCUCGCGGCUGAUAGCCGGCACCAGAGUCAGCCUGGUCGGCCCUGCACGUGGCAUAGGCCUAUUUUAACGCGUGGAUGACUGCGUGGGGGUGUCCCCAUUUUCAUUGUAUCUUGUUUUAUUAUAUUGUUUUUAUUUUCUUGGGAUGUUUUGUGUUGUGUUUCUGUUGUAUUUGUGUUAUUUCAUUUUCUUAAAUUAAUCUUUGGUAUAUUUGGAUUAUGUGUGUAAUUUGGUUAGGUUAUUUGUAUUUUUGUUAAGUAGUUCUUUUGAAUUUAAUUUCUUUUCUAACUGUGAAUGUAGAUUAUUUUGGGCAGCAGAUUUUGUUGAAUUCUUGAGUUUGUAAUUUGUGAUCUGCCCAACUUUAUAUUUUGAUCUGUUUUUUUUUUUUUUUGUUGUUGUUGUUUUUUUGGUAAGUUUUGCUUUAUUUGAUUUUCUUUGAGUAUAACCCCUUUUAUUCAUUUUCUGUUUCUUUCUCCCUUUCAGUGCUGAGGGCUGAAGGUGGUGGCCUGGGGUCCGAGGUGGUGGUUUCCCUUCCUGUAUGCCGUGUGUU
Long non-coding RNA from Lates calcarifer (barramundi perch), 2381 nucleotides. RefSeq lists it as uncharacterized. The transcript is spliced from 3 exons. NCBI's taxonomy places the organism in Eukaryota, Metazoa, Chordata, Actinopteri, Centropomidae. The record is from RefSeq and is a predicted model, not a curated record.